UUGACCUCGGAUCAGGCAGGAGUACCCGCUGAACUUGA
RNAcentral lists this ribosomal RNA (38 nucleotides) under Roccella fuciformis. Its description in RNAcentral is "partial large subunit ribosomal RNA". Lineage: Eukaryota; Fungi; Ascomycota; Arthoniomycetes; Arthoniales; Roccellaceae. The record is from RNAcentral.